UUUAGAAAUUAGGAGACUACUAAAAUUCAGUGGCACAUCAUUAGCGACAAAAUUAUUUAUGAAAAAAAUCUAAAUGUGAGUAUUUUGUUACCAACUUAAUAAAUUCAUAUCAAGUUCACAUUGGAAGAUUCUUAAAAGUAGGAAAUUGAUUAUUCAUAACUCUACCAUAAAAUCAAUAUACCUUAGGUAUCUGGGGAUAAUUUAUCUAAGG
Molecule: long non-coding RNA, 211 nt
Filed under: Bos taurus (domestic cattle)
Lineage: Eukaryota; Metazoa; Chordata; Mammalia; Artiodactyla; Bovidae
Description: long non-coding RNA NONBTAT016723
Source: RNAcentral